This 22-nucleotide microRNA is filed under the name Cordylochernes scorpioides. The record is from RNAcentral. Lineage: Eukaryota; Metazoa; Arthropoda; Arachnida; Pseudoscorpiones; Chernetidae.
UGGUCCCUUUCAACCAACUAUU